CCAUGAGUACAGUGGCGACCGGGUGAGUAACACGUGACUACCUACCCUUGAGUGGGGGAUAACCUCGGGAAACCGAGGCUAAUACCGCAUAAUAUCGAGAGAUCAAAGGAGCAAUUCGCUUUUGGAGGGAGUCGCGGCUGAUUAGUUAGUUGGCGGGGUAAUGGCCCACCAAGGCGAAGAUCGGUAUCCGGCCUGAGAGGGCGCACGGACACACUGGAACUGAAACACGGUCCAG
RNAcentral lists this ribosomal RNA (235 nucleotides) under uncultured bacterium. Its description in RNAcentral is "partial 16S ribosomal RNA". It matches the Rfam family "Bacterial small subunit ribosomal RNA", at positions 84 to 334 of the family's 1533-position model. The record is from RNAcentral.